GCUGGGCAUGGUGGCGUGGGCCUCUAAUCCCAGCAACUUGGAGGCUGAGGCAGAAGGAUCAUGUUUGAGACCAGCCUCAGGAGCUUAGUGAGACUAACUUUUUAAAAUGAGCAGUGUUUUAUAGUUACUAUAGUUCCUAAAAACGUGUUUUCAUUUUCCU
This 160-nucleotide small RNA is filed under the name Marmota monax (woodchuck). Lineage: Eukaryota; Metazoa; Chordata; Mammalia; Rodentia; Sciuridae. The record is from RNAcentral.